UACGGAGGGUGCGAGCGUUAUCCGGAUUCACUGGGUUUAAAGGGUGCGUAGGAGGGCAGGUAAGUCAGUGGUGAAAUCCCCGAGCUUAACUUGGGAACUGCCGUUGAUACUAUCUGUCUUGAAUACCGUGGAGGUGAGCGGAAUAUGUCAUGUAGCGGUGAAAUGCUUAGAUAUGACAUAGAACACCAAUUGCGAAGGCAGCUCGCUACACGAAUAUUGACUCUGAGGCACGAAAGCGUGGGGAUCAAACAGG
This 253-nucleotide ribosomal RNA is filed under the name uncultured bacterium. Its description in RNAcentral is "partial 16S ribosomal RNA". It matches the Rfam family "Bacterial small subunit ribosomal RNA", at positions 524 to 776 of the family's 1533-position model. The record is from RNAcentral.